This 655-nucleotide long non-coding RNA is filed under the name Rattus norvegicus (Norway rat). RNAcentral's name for it is "long non-coding RNA NONRATT008597". The record is from RNAcentral. Lineage: Eukaryota; Metazoa; Chordata; Mammalia; Rodentia; Muridae.
CAGGCUAUCAAAGAACUGUAGGCAUAGCAGAUUCUAAUUAUAAUUGGUUUUACGGUCCAGAAAGCCAGUUAAUUUUUUUGGAUAAGUUCAUUUUACGGAAUGGAGCUGGAAAUUGGUUAGCUCAGCAAAUUAGAAAGCAUCGACCUAAGGAUGGACCAAUGGUUCCUUCCACUGCUCAGCGGUGGAGUACUCUUCAUACUGAAUACAUCUGGUAUGAUCCAACGCUCCCCCCACAGCCUCCUGUUGAUUUUGGCACUGCAAAAAUGCACACAUUUCCUAACUGGGGUGUUGUGACUUAUGGGGGUGGCUUACCAAACACACAGACCAAUACCUUUGUGUCUUUUAAAUCUGGGAAACUGGGAGGACGAGCUGUAUAUGACAUAGUUCACUUUCAGCCAUAUUCCUGGAUUGAUGGAUGGAAAAGCUUUAACCCAGGACAUGAACAUCCAGAUCAAAAUUCAUUUACUUUUGCCCCUAAUGGACAAGUAUUUGUUUCUGAGGCUCUUUAUGGACCAAAGUUGAGCCACCUUAACAAUGUAUUGGUGUUCGCCCCAUCACCAUCAAGCCAAUGUAAUCAGCCCUGGGAAGGUCAACUGGGAGAAUGUGCACAAUGGCUCAAGUGGACUGGUGAAGAGGUUGGUGAUGCAGCUGGGGA